This 647-nucleotide long non-coding RNA is filed under the name Homo sapiens (human). RNAcentral's name for it is "HSALNT0372193". The record is from RNAcentral. Lineage: Eukaryota; Metazoa; Chordata; Mammalia; Primates; Hominidae.
AUAAGGUAUGCUGAGGAGGCCUCAAGCCAUUCCAGGCUCUUCUGUGCCUGUGGGACUACAUUCUCUGUGCCGGGCUUAGAGAACACGAAGAGGGAGCCAUCUGCCACACUCUGGAGGCUGAAGCCUGCACCAGUGCUGCUCGCCUCACUGUGGUAGGUGGUGGUGAUGGAAACUGCAGAUCGGCCAGAGUGGUAGAAAAGUUGCUGCAGGGUUUUUCUGGCUUUGCCUGCCCAGCUGCUCCAUGCCUGGCUAGAGGAGAAGGAGGAGCCACAUGUGGUACACUGGAGGCUGGAGCCUGCAGAUGGCAUGGCUCUGCGGCUCACCUUGCUGCAGUUGGUGGUGGUGACAGAGACUGCAGCUUGACUGUAGUGUCCAUGUUCUCCAGAGAAGCAGAACGAGUUGGAUGUAUGUUUUGGAAGAGAUUAUGAGGAACCGGCUCAUGUGAUGAAGGAGGUUGAGAGGUCCUGUGCUCUGCCAUCUGCAAGCUGAAGACCUGGAAAGCUGAGGGUGUGGCUCCAGUCUGAGUCUGAAGGCCCAAGAACCAGGGGAACCAACGGUGUAGAUUCCAGGUUGAAGGCAGGAGAAGAUGGAUGUCCCAGCUCAGCAGGCAGGCAGGAAGCAAAUGGGGUAAAUUCCUCCUUCCUCCA